RNAcentral lists this small RNA (571 nucleotides) under Pongo abelii (Sumatran orangutan). Its description in RNAcentral is "retained intron". The record is from RNAcentral. Lineage: Eukaryota; Metazoa; Chordata; Mammalia; Primates; Hominidae.
ACUUCAAGCGCCAUGGCCGCUGCCUCUCGGGCCCGGGUCGCGUACUUGCUGAGGCAACUGCAACGCGCAGCGUGCCAGUGCCCAACUCAUUCUCAUACUUACUCCCAAGCCCCUGGACUUUCACCUUCUGGGAAAACAACAGAUUAUGCCUUUGAGAUGGCUGUUUCAAAUAUUAGAUAUGGAGCAGGAGUUACAAAGGAAGUGGGAAUGGCAAGUAUUCGAGAUGUCUACAGUCUCCUACUGUGAAUGUUACAUAUCUCAUAAAACACAUGCUAAAUGACAACAAUCACAUCCUCUAUUUUUAAAAAUGUACAAUGUGAGUUUGCCAGAAGAGUCUGUUGCAGUUCUAGUGCAGUUGAACCUAACUUAUAGGUUUUCUUGUAGGACCUACAAAACAUGGGUGCUAAAAAUGUGUGCUUGAUGACAGACAAGAACCUCUCCAAGCUCCCUCCUGUGCAAGUAGCUAUGGAUUCCCUAGUGAAGAAUGGCAUCCCCUUUACGGUUUAUGAUAAUGUGAGGGUGGAACCAACGGAUGCAAGCUUCAUGGAAGCUAUUGAGUUUGCCCAAAAGG